Molecule: ribosomal RNA, 492 nt
Filed under: uncultured bacterium
Lineage: Bacteria
Description: partial 16S ribosomal RNA
Rfam family: Bacterial small subunit ribosomal RNA
Source: RNAcentral
AGUGAACGCUGGCGGUAGGCCUAACACAUGCAAGUCGAACGGCCUCACAGUAAGUGCUUGCUCUUACGGGUGGCGAGUGGCGGACGGUUGCGGAUUACAUCGGAAUCUACUUUUUCGUUGGUGAUAACGUCGGGAAACUUACGCUAAUACCGCAUACGACCUACUUGUGAAAGCAGGCGAUCUUCUGACCUUGCGCGAUUGUAUGAGCCGAUGUCGGAUUAGCUCGUUGGCGGGGUAAAGGCCCACCAAGGCGACGCUCCGUAGCUGGUCUGAGAGGAUGAUCAGCCACACUGGAAGUGAGAAACGGUCCAGACUCCUACGGGAGGCAGCAGUGGGGAAUAUUGGACAAUGGGCGCAAGCCUGAUCCAGCCAUACCGCGUAGGUGAAGAAGGACUUCGGGUUGUAGAACCAUUUUGUUGGGAAAGAAAAGAAGCAGGUUAAUACCCCGCUGUUCUGACGGUACCCAAAGAAUAAGCACCGGCUAACUUCGUG